Long non-coding RNA from Passer domesticus (house sparrow), 8184 nucleotides. RefSeq lists it as uncharacterized. The record is from RefSeq and is a predicted model, not a curated record. The transcript has 5 exons. NCBI's taxonomy places the organism in Eukaryota, Metazoa, Chordata, Aves, Passeriformes, Passeridae.
UUUCCAUCCAUCUCCUGUAACUGUAACAUCUGAACUUGCAUAUCACAAGGAAAACCCUGGCUGCAAGGCAAGAUGUCCAGAUUAUAUUCAUAAGUCUGUAAAACUUUUUGGAUUAAUUAGCUCUCUUCCUAAGAGUCUAGACUGGAUGUGACUUUGAAAACUUGGCCUAGGAUUACAGAAGUGUAGACCAGAUUUAUGAGAUUGGACUAUGAGUAGAAGGCUGAAUUUUCCGCGUGAAAAUUUGUCUGUAUCAGAUUUACAUAGACAAAAGGCUAUUUUAUAAAUUCUGCCAUGACUAAAAGCUGGCAAAGCCAGUGGAAGCUGGGUUCCAGAUUACUGAAUCUUUUCACCUUGUUAGCUGCUGCUCUCAAAACACCAGUCUCAUGUUUAGCUCUCAACAUGCGGCACCACGUGGCUCCUGGAGACUGUUCAUCAGAGGGAUGAAGCUUUCUUUCCUUCUAGAGUUCAGACACCCACAGGCACCACUGCUUCUGGGACAGCUGUCACUGCCUUGGAGAAGCAGGUUGGGGAAGGAGAAGGCUCUUUGCAACCCUUUUCCCUACUACUGAAAUGUGACAAUGUCCAAGUGUGCCUAAGAUAAAUGACCCAUUUCAGGUUUAUCAGGUUUACCAUUCUGGAAACACACACAUAAAUUUCAGAGACCUAAACAAUUAAAGGAAAAAAAAUUGCUACCCUGUUGUCAUCUAUGAUACACUGUGAUACCUGUGCAUGCUGGGACAUGAACUGUAUGUAUGAAAUUUCCAAUAUUUUUCAGAUAUUUUUCCCAUGUCACUGAUGAUAAUAAUAAAGUUCUACUUUCUUUUAAAUCUAUGUGAAUUAGCUCACACAGAGUUAAAAGAACAAUCUCAGAAGAUAACCCAUGACCGAAAAUCUAGUUUUCUACUUUGCCAAAAGUUACAGAAUUCCUGUUUUUUGGGUUUUUUUUCCUAAAUAUUUAUAAACUGAACUUUGCACAGUAUAUGCUAUGGUGGCACCAAUUUAUGAAAAAUUCCACACAGUUUGUCUCUUGCAAAUUUGCCAGGUCAUGGCAAACUUCUACUAGAAACAUGACUCAGACAUAAGGGAUUUUUCCAACCUCAGAAAGUCAAGCAUUUAUCCUCACAUCAAGCAGUUAUCCUUUAUAUUUAUUUAUUAGAAAAAGAAGUAUUUUAGGCAUUUCACUUAAAACAUAAUAUAUAACAAUUUUGUUUUAUCAGUUAUUUGUAUCUCAAGAGAAAAUUCAGGAAAUAUAUUAGAAGCAAUAGAGAGUAGAAACCUGAUUAUCCAGUCUCUUAUUUUUGCAUUCAUUUAGGUACUUUCACAAGGUGGUUUCUGUGCUGUGUUGCUUAGCAUUGCAAUGCCUAAUUUAGAAGCAUACCCACUGAGACUGGAAUCUGCAGUCAGUGGUAAAUCUCAACUCUCCUGCUAAGCUGGGGAAGCACAUGGGACUUGUCAGGGGAUCACAGCAGUCAGUCUGUCAGAUUGAGAGCUACCAACUAGGCCGAGAGGAGGUGCUGAACGUAAGGGUUUUUAAAUCCUGAACUUUUAAAUCCUGCCAUUACUGGAUGCCUAAAUACUUUAGAUGGCAGACAAAUAUGCAAUUGAAUUUCACAGAUCAAACACCUUUUAGCUCGUGAAGACCACUAAUUGCUUCUGUCCAGUACACUUUAUUAUGAAAUGCAUUUCAAAUCCUUGAAAGGUAGAUGCCCUUCCUACAGACUAGUGCUUGAGUCACGGGGCAACAGAGUUUUGAUUCCUUGCUUGCUCAAUAGCCCCGCAAACUUCUGAACUCUCUUCAUCAAGAAAAGCAGUGAAUUACACACUCAGGUCCCCCCCAAUAUAUCUUUAUGAAGGUAAUUAUGAUGAUGGUACAGAAAUUGGGGGCUGGGAUUUAAACCUUUUCAGGCAAAUUAAUGCUUCUGACUUUCUGGGAGAGCACUUGUAGAGCUGCUGAACCCAUCUUCAGGGCAUCAUACCAAAAAAUUGCCAUUCUAUCCUGCUCCUGAUCUUUUUCCUGCAUCUUCCUCUCCUCCUUAGUCUGCUAGUUCAGAUGUUCAUCUGAAAGUUCUCCUUAAUGGUCCAUUUUAAAUAUAAGAAUCAGAUUUUGAGGAUUAACGUUAUUCUAAAUUGGACAAUUUCCCUGGUCCAUUUCACUGUAUGAUUAUGCAAGGAUUGUCAUUGGCACAGCUGAGGAUCCUGGGCUGCAUCAAAUGAAAGCGUGGCCAGCAGGUUCUGUGGGGUGAUUCCACCUCUCCACUCCACUUUGGUGAGACCCACUAAAAUUUUGCACUCAAUUCUGGGCAGCAGCACAAGAAAGAUAUUAACUUGUUGAACUGUAUCCAAAGGAGGGUCACAAAAAUGGUCACAGGGAUGGAGCACCAGUCCUAUGAGGAAAGGCUGAAAGAGUUGGAGGUGUCCAGCUUGAAGGAAAAAAGGCUCAAGUCUUUUUGUGGCUUUUCAAUACUUAAAAUAAACUUAAAAGAAAAAUGGGGACAGGUUUUUUAGUGGGGCCUGAUAGAACAACUGUUAAGGUUAAGCUAAAAGAGCAUGAGUUCAGACUAGAUAUCAGGAAGAAAUUUUUUACAGUGCACAUGAUGAAACACUGGCACAGAUUGCCGUGAGAAGUGGCUGAUGCCCCAUCCCUGGAAAUAUUCAAGAUCAAGUUAGAUUGGGCUCUGAGCAACCUGAUGUACUUGAAGAUGUUCCUCCUCCUUGCAGGAUCAUCAUAGAUGACCUCUAAAGUUCCCUUACAGCCCAAACCUCCUAUGAUUCUAUGAUCCUCUGGAUAGUGAAUGAGAGGAUGUAAUUAAUAAAUGGUUCUGGGCAGGAGGAAGUAGAAGUCUCUUUAAAACUUCUCUUCAGGUAAAGGAUUUGGAAGUAGAAGUGCGUCUGAAAAGAUAAUGCAGAUUCUUCAGCAAAAGUAUAUACACAGUGAUAUCUGUGAUUAUCCUGCUGAUGACAGUUCUGACUAUGUAAAAAUUUUACCUACUUCAGCCAAAGCAGGUGUUAGAGAGAGGACAUGCUGUUGAAAACAAGCCAAAAAUGUAGUCUACUGAAUCUUCUUUUCUAAGUCAAAAUAGCAAAUGUCCAAUUAGAAACACAAUGUCUGAAACUGAAAUAUUCACUCUUUCUUCUUUGAUUUUUCUAUGGACUAAGAUGAGAUAUUGCCUUAUACUCCUCCUUUAUGCUGUAGAAGUCAUACAACGAUUCUUCAGUGCAACUUUGUUCAGCAGGAAAUCUAGUGGCAGUUUUACAGAUCCUGCUGCUUACUUCUCUGUCAUCAGUUCUCUGUGGUCUUUUCACAUCACUUUGAAGAUUUUCCCCUUUCAGCUUUUUUUCAGAUUUUCUUAUUACUUCAUAUCAAUUAACUCUUGCCAGUGCAUUACAGAACUGAGUUCAUUACCUUAUACAAUAAUUUCUCUUUCCUCUUCAGGGUAGAUUAUAAAGCUCUCCUUUCCAGCUUGUAUUUUGACACUUUAAAAUGCCAGUUGUUAAUUAUAAAGAAAACCAUUGCUAAUGCUUUUAUGCUCUUAUUUCUAGGAAAUUUAAGAAAAAAGAAAAACCCAUACUUAAUUUUAUCUCUUAGCAGAGUGUAUGUGAAGAAAACUUAGUAAUUUUAGACUAUGCAGCACAUAAAUAAUGGAUAAAGAGUGGUUAACUUUUUUAAUUUACUCCGGACUCAGAGACCUGUCAGACAAUAUUUCAUAUGUAAAUGAGAAGUGAAGUGGAAUAAGUACCUGUAUAUAGCAAUCUUUUGACAGAACUGCUCUGACUUUUAAAAUCCUUAUUCUUCUUUUUAUGUUUAGUACACAGAGACAAAUUAGAGGCUGCCUUUACAUCCCUGUCUAUUUGAUAUCAGUACAAGUGAUAAAAAACAAAAAAGAGAAAAGUCAGCUUGCUUCUUGUGCAUAUUAAAUCAUUUUCUAUCUAGAUGCCACAAAACCUUGAAGCUUAGAGUGCUCUGAAACAUCAAUUAUGCAUUAAAAUAAGGAUGUGAUUUUUUAAACUGAAAACUGUAAAUUGGUGUAUAGACUAUGGAGGUACAGAUACAACUAGGAAUGGAGGUUUAAAAACUAUCACACAUUUUACAACAGGCAUAGGGAGAUUUUGCACCUGUGGAACAACUCAGAUAGAAUUUAAUAGGAUAUUCAAAGGAAUAAAUUGGCCAAAAAAUUACUGUAAGCUAGGGGCCCAGAAGAAGGAUCAUCUAGAAAAUAUGUACCAUGGGAUUUUAGGAGAUUCAGAUUAAUUUGGACUGUAUGUGCAACUAUAUUCUAUAAUUAAUAAGGAUUUAAUGAAGAUUCUUUUUUCUAAUUGCUUAAUGCUUGAGUUCUCUUCUGGAUGAAGACCAAUGACCUGUGGUAUAAGACCAAUGCUCAAAGCAAGCCUGUUCCUCCUUUGCUAUGCAGUGCUCUUUCUCCAGCAGGGCAGAAAUGGCCAGGGAGUCUGAUCUCCCAGUUUAACCCAGAUUGCUCCAUUUACAGCCACACACAGCAAAUGGCACAAACAGUCUGAAAGCUGUGGAAAAGACGACCAGGGUCCCAGCUUGCAAGCUCAGCUGAUUUUAAAACAUUUUUAGGAUGCACACUGCAAUGAAUUCCAUCUCCAAACCUAUAUGUAUACAAAUUUAGAACAGAAUAUUUGUGUUCCACCUACUAAAAGGAAGAGGAUGUGUAGGUCCUGAAUUCAAAGUUCAGAUCUAAGUUUUAUAUUCAUGCCUGCUUAUUGGGGAUAUGUAAAAUAAUGUAUCUACAGUGGCAUUCAGAUGAUAGUUCUUUAGUCAACUGAUUGGUAUUUAUCUUAAUGAUAGGGGCUUACCCUUCUCUUACAAUUUUCUUGUGAAAAUGAUGAUUAAGAGAGAAAUAAAGUUCAUGGCUGUAGGAAAAAUUGCUGGCAUGUAAUAUAAUGUAAUUUUAUAUAAAAUUAGUUUUUAAUGUCAAGAACUUUAUAUUGUUUGGCAAAUAGCUUUUCUUUGUCAGUUAAAUAAUGUAGACAUUUAAAACAAAAUCUAGAAUAUACUUUUUCUUUAAAAUUCUUUUUACUCUUCAUUCAGAACUUUUCUUUUUGCAAACCUUGCAAUUAAAUACUGCAGCAAUAUUCAGAACAGAUUUGCUGCAUGUAUAAAACUCUUACUUCUUAGCAACAUAACUAAUUCUUAAUUUUGCUACCCAUCCUACUGCUUCUUCAGGAGGAAAAAGUCAAAGUAUUAAUGACGUUGUCCAUGUGGGAGCUUAAUAUACACUUGAAUGCUUUUAUUAAGGCAUUUAAAAAUUAUCUAAUUACCAAAAUUGGCCGCAAAUUAUCAUUGUUAGCAGGAAAGAGCCCCAUGUUUUAGGAAGUGCUACAAAAGUGAAGUCAGCACACGACUUUUAUAAUCUCUGUGAUGUUGCAUACAUCUCUCCUUGCCUCACUAAGGGGGCAGCAACAGCAAGAACAAGGCACUGGACAUGUAGAUUUUUGUUGUGUCACUAUUCCUUUGUGAGUUCAUAAACAAACAGAUAAGGCUUUGCAGGUAGAUAAUCAGCCAUGGAAACUCCUCUGCACACCUCCCAGCAAGAUGCCUUUUGCAGAGAGUAAGUUUUCAAGGAUGUCAGAAGAGAACAGGAUAAAUUUCAAAUUGCUGGUAUCAGAUAUGGUGGCUGUUCCUUUUGGGUCAAUAAGUACACAGGCUCCUCUAUAAAGUUUUUUGCCAACAUAGGAUUCAAAAAAGUUGGGUAAUUCUCGUAAAUGCUUUUUUCUCACUUCAUAAACUACGCUGUCCACAGGUGAAAAACUCUUCUGAAAUAUAAGAUUUUCUUCUUGCUGAGCAAAAUAAUUAGAAUUUCUUUUCUAUGCCUAUUAAAUGUAUAUAUUUUACAACUUUUGUGUACCAUUAGCCUAAUAUUUUACAAUACAUUUCAUGAAACUUAAAAUUAUUUAAUAGCCUUUUUGCUCAUUUUUUUAAUCUAUGAUACAGAAAAGAAGCUAAUGAAUUAUGGAGGGGUUCCCUCUUCAGGAGAAAAAUCUCAGCCUUACCCUGAGAGCCAGUUUUGGGAUACUGAUAUUAUGAUCUAAAUAUGGUUUAAAGUCACUUUUUGCAGCAGCUCAUUUCUGAUGGAAGCCUAAGGGUUUGAAAUAUUGGCAGCACUAUUUCCCCUGUGCUUAAUGCUAUAAAAUCCCCAUAUAAAAUUGGUUAAAUAUAGGUAGUAAAAGUCUUGGGGAUUUUUUAAUUUCUCUUGAGACACAACUGCCUGUUCCUCAGGGCUGUUUGUAGUUUUGUCUUGGAUUUGGAAGGAGUUCCACUGUGUAAUGGCAGUAACUCUAGUCAAGACAUGGCUUGAAAAAAUAUAUAUUCAGCAGUGUACUCCACAGGAGAUGAAUAAAGAGCUGAAGAAAAUUGGCUGUAGAUCAAAAAUGCAUGGUAAAUUCAUAGCUGAAAGUGCUUACCGGCCAGAUGGAAAGGUUUCCAUGAACAUGUUUUGAAGGCAGUCUCCCUACAUUUUCUAAGGUAUUGUUUAACACUGUUAGACUUCUUUGACCAUCAGUAUGGGAUUUAGAGAGUCCAGGCAGCUUAGUAUGUAAAAUGGAACUGGUCCUAAUAGGCCCAUAAGGGAGUUGGUAUGGUCUGUGAUACCUGGGAACCACAGACCACACCAACUCCACUGUGUUUAGGAUGGAGCAAUGGACAUGCUUGUUUUGCAAACUGGGCUGGAUGUAGUCGGGUGCCAUGUCUAAUUUAGUCAGAGAUCAGACCAGUUCAACACCAGGAGUGCUAGGGCAGAGAUUCAGACGUGGCAGAUCCCAUACACAUUGGACUCACUAGUCCAAAGUGGUGGCAUAUUUGUUGGUUUCAUGCAUUGCACACAAAUGUCUUGUGUGCCACUCAGAAAUAUGGAAGACAUGACAUUUACUUUUUUAUUUUUUUAUUAUAUAUGAAAUGUUAAAAAAAUAUUAUUUUUUUUUACACAUGAAAUGCCAACAUUCAAUCUCUGAGGUGCACAGUCUAAGCCCAGGCUAAUAGCAAGGAAGACUGAAUGAGCUUUGAAUUUCACAGACUCAAAUAUCCACCUCACUAGCACUUUAAACACAAAAAGGGGCUGACAGGAUGACAAAGUUGCAACAGGGAGAAGAAAAACAAUAGAAACAAACAUAAGGCCAUUUUUUAAAUGGUUCAUUUCAUUUACACACAGAACAGGCUGAAGAUGUAGCUGUGACCCAGGAUUGUGCUCCAGGCAACCUGAAUUUAAUUUAGUCAGGAAAAACAGUUUAUUAAUAGUGAAAAUAGCAAAAAAAAAGAAAAAAAUCAACCCAAAAGCUAUUAAUUUUUAAUAACUUAAUUUUCAUUCAGUUGGCUUCGGGAUGCCAGGGAGGAAGGGGUGCUGUUUCAUUCUUUCUUUGAAAAGCACAGGGUUUUUAAAUCUCAUUUAAUGUUGUCUCCUUUUGAAGACUAGAAAAUUUUCUGCUGGAGUGAGAACUUGCUGUAUAGCAGGACCUCCACAAAUAAGGAGCAUUUAUUUUCCUCCUUUCUACCUUAAACUAUUUCCUACAUUUAAAUUUUUUUUUUACUUUCCCUGGUAUAGGUACAGGACCUUAGUCCCAAUGCUUCCCUGAAACUUCUGAAGUAAGAUCUGCAGUGGUAUCAUCCCACUGUGUUUUCUUCCAUAGUUUAAAAGCAGACUUCUGUUUUUCAGACAGCCAGACUCAACUUGUACCUGUGUGAAUGGGAGAGACUCCACUAGUCAUGUGCUCCUACUAGCACAUACAAUUUUACACAAGCACUAAUCUACCAAACCUUUGAGGAAACGAAAACAGCACAAAACCCAACCCUGCAAUUCCUCUAAACAUGCAUCUAAAAUCUUGAAGUCCACAAGAAAGCUGGAGAUAAAUAGACAGAUAAUAUUAAAUUAUCCAAUCUUAUUGUGGCUGAAGUGAACUGCAUUUAGAAAUAAAGCAUUGAAUUUAGGUGUCUUUAUGCCACUAUUCCAUAAAAUCUGCAACUGAAAAGACGGACAAUUUGAUCUCAAGUCCUUUGAGUGCUGGUGGUCAGGACAGCAGCUCUAUUCCCACAACUUGUUUGGCUUGGUGUACUGGCAACAAUUUGUAUCUACAUUAUUGCAUUCUUUUAUAUAUUCCAUUGCAAAAAAACCCAAAAAACAAAAACAAAAAAAACACCAAAACCAAAAACCCACCUAAAGUAAACAACAA